UACGUAGGGACCAAGCGUUGUUCGGAUUUACUGGGCGUAAAGGGCGCGUAGGCGGCACUUCAAGUCAUCUGUGAAAUCUCCGGGCUUAACUCGGAACGGUCAGAUGAUACUGCUUUGCUAGAGUGCGGAAGGGGCAAUCGGAAUUCUCGGUGUAGCGGUGAAAUGCGUAGAUAUCUGGAGGAACACCGGUGGCGAAGGCGGCAUCCUGGACCAAUUCUGACACUGAGGAGCGAAAGCCAGGGGAGCAAACGGG
This 253-nucleotide ribosomal RNA is filed under the name uncultured bacterium. RNAcentral's name for it is "partial 16S ribosomal RNA". It matches the Rfam family "Bacterial small subunit ribosomal RNA", at positions 524 to 776 of the family's 1533-position model. The record is from RNAcentral.